GUACCCGCUGAACUUAAGCAUAUCAAUAAGCGGAGGAAAAGAAACCAACAGGGAUUGCCUUAGUAACGGCGAGUGAAGCGGCAAUAGCUCAAAUUUGAAAGCUGGCGUCUUCGACGUCCGCGUUGUAAUUUGUAGAGGAUGCUUCGGCGAAGACUCCUGCCUAAGUCCCCUGGAACGGGGCGUCAUAGAGGGUGAGAAUCCCGUAUGUGGCGGGCAGUCUAAGCCAUGUGAAGCUCCUUCGACGAGUCGAGUUGUUUGGGAAUGCAGCUCUAAAUGGGAGGUAAAUUUCUUCUAAAGCUAAAUAUUGGCCAGAGACCGAUAGCGCACAAGUAGAGUGAUCGAAAGAUGAAAAGCACUUUGGAAAGAGAGUUAAAAAGUACGUGAAAUUGUUGAAAGGGAAGCGCUUGCAACCAGACUCGCUCGUAGUUGCUCAGCCGGCCUCUUGGCCGGUGCACUCUUCUACGAUCGGGCCAGCAUCAGUUCGGGCGGCAGGAUAAAGGUGUCGGGAAUGUAGCACCCUUCGGGGUGUGUUAUAGCCCGGCGCGGAAUGCUGCCAGCCUGGACUGAGGAUCUCGCUUCGGCAAGGAUGCUGGCGUAAUGGUUGUAAGCGGCCCGUCUUGAAACACGGACCAAGGAGUCUAACAUCUAUGCGAGUGUUUGGGUGUCAAACCCAUGCGCGUAAUGAAAGUGAACGGAGGUGGGAACCCCUCACGGGGUGCACCAUCGACCGAUCCUGAUGUCUUCGGAUGGAUUUGAGUAAGAGCAUAGCUGUUGGGACCCGAAAGAUGGUGAACUAUGCCUGAAUAGGGUGAAGCCAGAGGAAACUCUGGUGGAGGCUCGCAGCGGUUCUGACGUGCAAAUCGAUCGUCAAAUUUGGGUAUAGGGGCGAAAGACUAAUCGAACCAUCUAGUAGCUGGUUCCUGCCGAAGUUUCCCUCAGGAU
This 942-nucleotide ribosomal RNA is filed under the name Phyllosticta capitalensis. RNAcentral describes it as "partial large subunit ribosomal RNA". It matches the Rfam family "Eukaryotic large subunit ribosomal RNA", at positions 22 to 979 of the family's 3401-position model. Lineage: Eukaryota; Fungi; Ascomycota; Dothideomycetes; Botryosphaeriales; Phyllostictaceae. The record is from RNAcentral.